Molecule: ribosomal RNA, 845 nt
Filed under: uncultured Propionibacteriaceae bacterium
Lineage: Bacteria; Bacillati; Actinomycetota; Actinomycetes; Propionibacteriales; Propionibacteriaceae
Description: bacterial SSU rRNA
Rfam family: Bacterial small subunit ribosomal RNA
Source: RNAcentral
GCAGUCGAACGGUAAGGCCCCUUCGGGGGUACACGAGUGGCGAACGGGUGAGUAACACGUGAGCAACCUGCCCUUGACACCGGAAUAACAGUUGGAAACAGCUGCUAAUGCCGGAUACGACCUUCGAUGGCAUCAUCUGGAGGUGGAAAGUGCUUAGCGGUCAAGGAUGGACUCGCGGCCUAUCAGCUAGUUGGUGAGGUAACGGCUCACCAAGGCUUCGACGGGUAGCCGGCCUGAGAGGGCGACCGGCCACACUGGGACUGAGAUACGGCCCAGACUCCUACGGGAGGCAGCAGUGGGGAAUAUUGCACAAUGGGCGCAAGCCUGAUGCAGCAACGCCGCGUGCGGGAUGACGGCCUUCGGGUUGUAAACCGCUUUCAGUUCCGACGAAGCGCAAGUGACGGUAGGAACAGAAGAAGGACCGGCCAACUACGUGCCAGCAGCCGCGGUGAUACGUAGGGUCCGAGCGUUGUCCGGAAUUAUUGGGCGUAAAGGGCUUGUAGGCGGUUUGUCACGUCGGAAGUGAAAACUCAGGGCUUAACCCUGAGCCGGCUUCCGAUACGGGCAAACUAGAGGAAUGCAGGGGAGAAUGGAAUUCCUGGUGGAGCGGUGGAAUGCGCAGAUAUCAGGAGGAACACCGGUGGCGAAGGCGGUUCUCUGGGCAUUUCCUGACGCUGAGAAGCGAAAGCGUGGGGAGCAAACAGGCUUAGAUACCCUGGUAGUCCACGCCGUAAACGGUGGGCACUAGGUGUGGGGAACAUUCCACGUUCUCCGUGCCGAAGCUAACGCAUUAAGUGCCCCGCCUGGGGAGUACGGCCGCAAGGCUAAAACUCAAAGGAAUUGAC